Molecule: ribosomal RNA, 1016 nt
Filed under: uncultured bacterium
Lineage: Bacteria
Description: bacterial SSU rRNA
Rfam family: Bacterial small subunit ribosomal RNA
Source: RNAcentral
UGAGGAAUAUUGGUCAAUGGGCGUAAGCCUGAACCAGCCAAGUAGCGUGAGGGAAGACUGCCCUAUGGGUUGUAAACCUCUUUUGUGCGGGGAUAAAGUGUGGGACGUGUCCCAUAUUGCAGGUACCGCACGAAUAAGGACCGGCUAAUUCCGUGCCAGCAGCCGCGGUAAUACGGAAGGUCCGGGCGUUAUCCGGAUUUAUUGGGUUUAAAGGGUGCGUAGGCGGUUUAUUAAGUUAGUGGUUAAAUAUUUGAGCUAAACUCAAUUGUGCCAUUAAUACUGGUAAACUGGAGUACAGACGAGGUAGGCGGAAUAAGUUAAGUAGCGGUGAAAUGCAUAGAUAUAACUUAGAACUCCGAUAGCGAAGGCAGCUUACCAGACUGUAACUGACGCUGAGGCUCGAAAGCGUGGGGAGCAAACAGGAUUAGAUACCCUGGUAGUCCACGCCGUAAACGAUGGAUACUCGCUGUUGGCGAUAUACUGUCAGCGGCCAAGCGAAAGCAUUAAGUAUCCCACCUGGGGAGUACGCCGGCAACGGUGAAACUCAAAGGAAUUGACGGGGGCCCGCACAAGCGGAGGAACAUGUGGUUUAAUUCGAUGAUACGCGAGGAACCUUACCCGGGCUUAAAUUGCAGACGAAUUACCUGGAAACAGGUAAGCCGCAAGGCGUCUGUGAAGGUGCUGCAUGGUUGUCGUCAGCUCGUGCCGUGAGGUGUCGGCUUAAGUGCCAUAACGAGCGCAACCCUCGUGGCCAGUUGCCAUCAGGUGAUGCUGGGCACUCUGGCGGGACUGCCACCGCAAGGUGUGAGGAGGGGGGGGAUGACGUCAAAUCAGCACGGCCCUUACGUCCGGGGCGACACACGUGUUACAAUGGCGGCCACAGAGGGAAGCUACCCCGCGAGGGGAUGCGGAUCUCGAAAAGCCGUCCCAGUUCGGACUGGAGUCUGCAACCCGACUCCACGAAGUUGGAUUCGCUAGUAAUCGCGCAUCAGCCAUGGCGCGGUGAAUACGUUCCC